RNAcentral lists this long non-coding RNA (394 nucleotides) under Nicotiana tabacum (common tobacco). RNAcentral's name for it is "long non-coding RNA (NTAB_LNC007618)". The record is from RNAcentral. Lineage: Eukaryota; Viridiplantae; Streptophyta; Magnoliopsida; Solanales; Solanaceae.
GUGGCACAAUUUCUGAUUAUUACAGGGAUAUAGUAGCAAUUGGAGCCUUUUCUGCAGCUUCUCAAGGAAUCUUCAUCUCGUGCUCGGCUGGGAAUGGUGGGCCAGGCUCUGGAUCCCUCUCCAACGUUGCACCAUGGAUAACUACUGUAGGCGCAGGGACCAUGGACCGUGAAUUCCCAGCAUAUAUUAGCAUUGGAAAUGGAAAAAAAUUCAAUGGAGUAUCACUUUACAGUGGAAAGGCAUUACCUAGUUCUGUGAUGCCACUGGUGUAUGCUGGAAAUGCCAGCCAAGCAUCAAAUGGCAAUUUAUGCACAAGUGGUAGUCUGAUUCCAGAAAAAGUUGCUGGGAAAAUUGUUGUAUGUGACCGAGGGAUGAAUGCAAGGGCACAGAAGGG